AUUGAACGCUGGCGGCAGGCCUAACACAUGCAAGUCGAGCGGAUGAAGGGAGCUUGCUCCUGGAUUCAGCGGCGGACGGGUGAGUAAUGCCUAGGAAUCUGCCUGGUAGUGGGGGAUAACGUCCGGAAACGGGCGCUAAUACCGCAUACGUCCUGAGGGAGAAAGUGGGGGAUCUUCGGACCUCACGCUAUCAGAUGAGCCUAGGUCGGAUUAGCUAGUUGGUGGGGUAAAGGCCUACCAAGGCGACGAUCCGUAACUGGUCUGAGAGGAUGAUCAGUCACACUGGAACUGAGACGCGGUCCAGACUCCUACGGGAGGCAGCAGUGGGGAAUAUUGGACAAUGGGCGAAAGCCUGAUCCAGCCAUGCCGCGUGUGUGAAGAAGGUCUUCGGAUUGUAAAGCACUUUAAGUUGGGAGGAAGGGCAGUAAGUUAAUACCUUGCUGUUCUGACGUUACCAACAGAAUAAGCACCGGCUAACUUCGUG
This 484-nucleotide ribosomal RNA is filed under the name uncultured bacterium. Its description in RNAcentral is "partial 16S ribosomal RNA". It matches the Rfam family "Bacterial small subunit ribosomal RNA", at positions 30 to 507 of the family's 1533-position model. The record is from RNAcentral.